UGGGGAAUAUUGCACAAUGGGCGCAAGCCUGAUGCAGCCAUGCCGCGUGUGUGAAGAAGGCCUUCGGGUUGUAAAGCACUUUCAGCGAGGAGGAAGGUGGUGAGCUUAAUACGCUCAUCAAUUGACGUUACUCGCAGAAGAAGCACCGGCUAACUCCGUGCCAGCAGCCGCGGUAAUACGGAGGGUGCAAGCGUUAAUCGGAAUUACUGGGCGUAAAGCGCACGCAGGCGGUUUGUUAAGUCAGAUGUGAAAUCCCCGGGCUCAACCUGGGAACUGCAUUUGAAACUGGCAAGCUAGAGUCUCGUAGAGGGGGGUAGAAUUCCAGGUGUAGCGGUGAAAUGCGUAGAGAUCUGGAGGAAUACCGGUGGCGAAGGCGGCCCCCCUGGACGAAGACUGACGCUCAGGUGCGAAAGCGUGGGGCAGCAAACAGGAUUAGAUACCCUGGUAGUCCAGCGCUGUAAACGAUGUCGAUUUGGAGGUUGUGCCCUUGAGGCGUGGCUUCCGGAGCUAACGCGUUAAAUCGACCGCCUGGGGAGUACGGCCGCAAGGUUAAAACUUAAAUGAAUUGAC
This 570-nucleotide ribosomal RNA is filed under the name uncultured bacterium. Its description in RNAcentral is "partial 16S ribosomal RNA". It matches the Rfam family "Bacterial small subunit ribosomal RNA", at positions 355 to 914 of the family's 1533-position model. The record is from RNAcentral.